UACGGGGGGGGCAAGCGUUGUUCGGAAUUACUGGGCGUAAAGGGCGCUUAGGCGGGUGGACAAGUCUCUCGUGAAAGCCCACGGCUCAACCGUGGAAUUGCGGGAGAUACUGUCUGUCUUGAGUCCGGGAGAGGAGGGUGGAAUUCCCAGUGUAGCGGUGAAAUGCGUAGAUAUUGGGAGGAACACCGGUGGCGAAGGUGGCUCUCUGGACCGGUACUGACUAUGAGGCGCGAAAGCUAGGGGAGCAAACGGG
RNAcentral lists this ribosomal RNA (253 nucleotides) under uncultured bacterium. RNAcentral describes it as "partial 16S ribosomal RNA". It matches the Rfam family "Bacterial small subunit ribosomal RNA", at positions 524 to 776 of the family's 1533-position model. The record is from RNAcentral.